Molecule: non-coding RNA, 145 nt
Organism: Cyphellophora europaea CBS 101466
Lineage: Eukaryota; Fungi; Ascomycota; Eurotiomycetes; Chaetothyriales; Cyphellophoraceae
Source: the annotation of a RefSeq genome assembly
GGUCGGUUGGUGUAGUUGGUUAUCACGUGGUAUGUUUGCGCUUCAGCACGACGCCUAUAAGCCGUCACUAAUAUUCGUCCCAAAGUCCUUAACAAUCUCCCAUGUUGUACGGACAAGGUCGCCGGUUCGAACCCGGCACUGAUCA